Papio anubis (olive baboon) is the source of this 319-nucleotide unclassified non-coding RNA. It matches the Rfam family "Metazoan signal recognition particle RNA". Rfam says of the family: The signal recognition particle (SRP) is a universally conserved ribonucleoprotein. It is involved in the co-translational targeting of proteins to membranes. The eukaryotic SRP consists of a 300-nucleotide 7S RNA and six proteins: SRPs 72, 68, 54, 19, 14, and 9. NCBI's taxonomy places the organism in Eukaryota, Metazoa, Chordata, Mammalia, Primates, Cercopithecidae. The record is from Ensembl.
GCUGGGUGUGGUGGUGCGCACCUGUAAUCUCAGCUACUUGGGAGGCUGAGGCAGGAAAAUCGCUUGAACCCAGGAGGUAGAGGAUGCAGCGAGCUGAGAUCGUGCCACUGCACUCCAACCUGGUGACAGAGUGAGACUCUGUCUCUAAAUAAAUAAAUAAAUGGGGAUAUAUUGUACCUCGGUGUCUUGUUUUGUUUUGUUCUUGUUUUUUUUUUUUUGAAACGGAGUCUCACUCUGUCACCCAGGCUGGAGUGCAGUGGCCUGAUUUUGGCUCACUGCAAGCUCCGCCUCCUGGGUUCAAGCGAUUCUCCUGCCUCAG